This 73-nucleotide transfer RNA is filed under the name Ornithorhynchus anatinus (platypus). It matches the Rfam family "tRNA". Rfam says of the family: Transfer RNA (tRNA) molecules are approximately 80 nucleotides in length. The record is from Rfam by way of RNAcentral. Lineage: Eukaryota; Metazoa; Chordata; Mammalia; Monotremata; Ornithorhynchidae.
AGCAGCGUGGCUCGGUGGAAAGAGCCCCGGGUUUGGGAGUCGGAGGACCUGGGUUCGAAUCCCGGCUCUGCCG